GAGGGGAGAAGGAGACUGAGAAAGAAGACUGAGAGGCUCCUGGAGGUAGCCGGUCCCCACCCCGCGCCCGUGGGAACGGCCCCGCCCGCCUCUGUGACGUCAUCUGGAACCCGACAAGGCAGGGCCGCCGGCAGGCGGCUGGAGGGUCCUCGCCGAGCCGUGAUGAGCGAGGGCAGCGCGGGCGACCCGGGCCACGGGUCCAGCCGGCAGCGGGCCGUACACCCAGAGAACCUGUCUCUGGGUUCUAGCUGUUUCUCUCCACCUGUGAACUUCCUUCAAGAGCUGCCAAGCUAUCGGUCAGUGGCACGUAGGAGAACAAACAUCCUCUCUCGGGACAAGCAAAGUGGCACCCUGCUGAAGCCGACAGACUCUUUCAGUUGCCAGCUGGAUGGAGGAAUCACAGAAAACCUCAACAGCCAAUCCAUCCGCAAGUAUGCACUGAACAUCUCUGAGAAGCGGAGACUAAGGGACAUUCAGGAAACCCAAAUGAAGUAUUUAUCAGAGUGGGACCAGUGGAAACGGUACAGCAGCAAGUCCUGGAAGAGGUUCCUAGAGAAAGCUCGAGAGAUGACAACCCACCUGGAACUGUGGCGCAAAGACAUCCGCAGCAUUGAAGGAAAGUUUGGCACGGGGAUCCAGUCCUACUUCUCAUUCCUGCGGUUCCUGGUGGUGCUGAACCUGGUGAUAUUCCUGAUCAUCUUCAUGUUGGUUUUGCUUCCAAUCCUACUCACCAAGUACAAGAUUACCAACAGCACUUUUGUGCUCAUCCCGUUCAAAGACAUGGAUAUUCAGUGCACACUGUAUCCAAUAAGUAGCUCUGGGCUCAUUUACUUCUACAGUUACAUCAUAGACCUGCUGUCUGGAACAGGAUUCUUGGAGGAGACCAGCCUUUUUUAUGGGCACUACACCAUUGAUGGUGUAAAGUUCCAGAGCUUCACGUAUGACCUGCCCCUGGCUUACUUGAUAAGCACGAUUGCCUACCUGGCCCUGAGCCUCCUUUGGAUCGUGAAAAGGUCGGUGGAAGGGUUCAAGAUCAACCUGAUUCGGAGCGAGGAACACUUUCAGAGUUACUGUAAUAAGAUCUUCGCUGGCUGGGACUUCUGCAUCACCAACCGCAGCAUGGCUGAGCUGAAGCACAGCAGCUUGCGGUACGAGCUCCGAGCAGAUCUGGAAGAAGAGAGAAUACGACAGAAAAUAGCAGAAAGGACCUCAGAGGAGACCAUCCGCAUUUACACUUUGAGGCUGUUUUUGAACUGCAUUGUGCUUGCUGUGCUAGCGGCAUGCUUUUAUGCAAUCUACCUAGCAACUGCCUUCUCACAGGAACACAUGAAAAAAGAAAUUGACAAGAUGGUUUUUGGGGAGAACCUGUUGAUAUUGUACCUCCCGUCCAUUGUGAUUACCCUGGCCAAUUUCAUUACCCCAAUCAUCUUUGCCAAGAUCAUCCACUACGAGGAUUACUCGCCAGGCUUUGAGAUCCGCCUGACGAUUCUUAGGUGUGUCUUUAUGCGGCUGGCCACCAUCUGUGUGCUGGUGUUCACGCUGGGCUCCAAGAUCACAUCCUGUGGUGACAGCACGUGUGAACUCUGCGGCUAUAACCAGAAACUCUACCCGUGCUGGGAGACUCAGGUGGGACAGGAAAUGUACAAGCUGAUGAUCUUCGACUUCAUCAUCAUCCUGGCCGUGACGCUGUUUGUGGAUUUCCCUAGGAAUUUGUUUCCAGGCUCCUGGUGACCUACUGUGCCUCCUCAAAGCUGAUCCAGUGCUGGGGCCAGCAGGAAUUCGCCAUCCCCGACAAUGUCCUGGGCAUCGUGUACGGGCAGACCAUCUGUUGGAUUGGAGCCUUCUUCUCCCCACUCCUCCCUGCCAUUGCCACCUUGAAAUUCGUUAUCAUCUUUUAUGUGAAAGAGUUGAGUCUUCUCUACACCUGCAGACCCUCCCCGAGGCAGUUCAGAGCAUCCAAUUCUAACUUCUUCUUCCUGCUGGUGUUGCUGAUUGGGCUGUGCCUAGCAAUCAUACCUCUGACCAUCAGCAUGGCUCGCAUCCCUUCCUCAAAAGCCUGCGGCCCAUUUACCAACUUCAACACCACCUGGGAAGUGAUUCCUCAGACUGUGAGCACCUUCCCCAGCUCGCUGCAGACCCUGAUCCAUGCCGUUACAUCAGAAGCCUUCGCGGUGCCUUUCUUCAUGAUCAUCUGCCUUGUCAUGUUCUACUUCAUUGCACUGGCUGGAGCACACAAGCAGGUGGUUGUACAGCUUCGAGAGCAGCUGUCCCUGGAGAGUCGUGACAAGCGUUAUCUUAUCCAGAAACUAACAGAAGCUCAAAGGGAGGUCCGGAGCCAGCCGGCUUCAGCAUGAAGAUGCUGCCCGAAACUUCUCAACACAUAGCUCUGAUGACCCUACAGAGUCCACCUGGGGUUUGAGUGGAAGUGACUUUUGGUGGCUUAGCCAAACAGGCUGACCCCCAGCCUGAUCCCCAGGGAGUGGUGACUCCACCAAAACACUUAACUUCUCGAGCUGCUCAGCCUCUCACGAUCAGAGAGGGGAGACUUUUAUUUAUUUUUUGUUUAGACUUUUGUAUAUUUUUAAAAAAGGGUUGUGUGUGUGUGUGUGUGUGUGUUUUUUUUUUUUUUUAGAGUAAAACUGAGAUUUCUCCGAAAGCCUUCCCAGGCCGAGUGAAUACCCUCCAAGAUGCCACUGGUGACUUCAAAUUAAACCUGACUUCCUUUUUCAGAUGAGCAGGAAUCUUCAGAUGCUGAGGCUUAGAACAGCUGAUAGGAACGUGGAGAGGCCGUCCUGGCAGAAAGGCAGAAAGGAAAUCCAUCCCCGCUGUGUACCCCAUCACACUUGAAUUCCCACCCAUGCCCAGUCAGUAUCACCCCCUUGAGGAGAGGACUAGGCCAGGUGGCAAUUUCAGCUUUUUGGAACUUUUCUCCAGCCUUGUUCACUCCUCCAGGGAAAGUGACCUUAGCCAACUGGUUAGCCAUUAGCCUUUAGUCUCCACCUGGCCCCAAUUUCUAAGAUUUGGUGACAGAAUUGAAGAGGGGUUUAACUUUGCAAGGUGCACAGGCAGUUCCUCUGUUUUCCAAGUGUUAUUCCUCUUCCGUGCAUGGAGCUGUUCAUUCCUGAAAGAUGCAGAGUGAUUCAGAGCUAGGCUGCAAUAUGCUUUUUGGAAUUGGAGCUGGGUUUAAGGAGCAGGGGUUUUAUGUAUGAUUUCAGGUGUAGGUCCACAGCCCAGCCUGUUCCUAAGAACGCCCCAUAAUACAAACAAAGGUUGGGUUCUGAUUACUUAAGUACACAUGUCAAAGGGCUAGAUUUUGUUUGCCUGAGUUUAAAACUUUGUGUGUGUGUUCCUUUGUUUUUAUAAAACAUUACAAAGACAGAGUAUCUCUUGAGAUCUCCAGCAUAGUAAAAGCUGUAUUUAAUAAAUACCUCAUCAUAAGCCUCCCUUAUGGGGCGUCCCUUUUAGUGGUGUCUAAUUUGAUCUGCUUUCACUUUAAGGUCUUUGUCAAUGUACUGCAGUCCUGUGAUGGGACUGUGGAGUCUUUACUGUUUUCCACUGGCUCCUAACCUUUAAAUUUCAAUUAAUGUUUCAGAAAGCUGCCAAGAUGGACUUCCCUGCUCUGAUCACUGCCUUGUUCCUCAAAAAUGAUUGGCUUCCCUCUGGGAGCAAAGCAAACUCGUUGUAGCUUCCAUGUCUGUGUGUGUAUAAAGGGUGCUUUGUCAGAUGUGUGUGUGUCUGUGUGUAUUGAUGUGUGUGUGUCCAUAUCUUACAUGUGUGAAUUCGUAUAAAGGGCCCUUGGUGAGGGGUGUGUGUGUGUGUGUGCAUAUGUACAUCUGGAGGCGGAACUCAUAUCCUCAAGCUCUACACAAUCAUUUCCGUCAUCUUCCAUGAGGCUGUUAACCUGGGAUAUUUUUGUUCCUGUGGGAACAUGUGCUUUGUAACAUUUUCUUGUAUUUUAAGAUCUAUGAGUUUUAAAGCCUAACAACAGGAGUUUUGAAUAAACCAAAGUUUACUCCAUUCUCAUUCUACAAAUCCUGGUUGCUGGCAUUUUUGCCUAGUGCCUUCAUGAAGCAUUCUUGUCCUCACUGUGGCCCUGAGGAUAAUCUGCUGUCCUAUGUUUGUAGGAAUGGUAGAUAAAAUAAACAACAUAUUUUCUUUAUUAUAAAACAGAUAACAAAAUAUGCCAAUUGGUAUGUUGGUUUUAGUUAGUGCUGCUAAUGUGUGCACCUCCUACUUGAAUAUUUUAAUAACUUGGAAUAACCAGGCAAUGUCUGUAUAGCUUUAAAGUGCGGCUCUCUAACGGGUGUGUGUUAAACUCCUGAUUCCGUGUCUUGAAAGUUUUAGAGUAUGGUUGUCCUCAAACCCACAGACGCUCUUCAUCACUGGUUAAGUGAUGAAGAGAACUGCAAUACUCAGUAAAGUUGCUCUUUGUCACUGCAGUUAGAGGAAGUAGCAUUUUGACAUCGAUGGAUGUGUUAGAUGAGUCUUGUCUCCUCUUGGCUAUUAAGAAGCCAAAGAAAAGCAGGUUUGUGUGUUUUGAACGUCAAAGACAAUAUCUUAAGCAUUUUAUAUCUUGCUACCAUUGAAAGCCACUGUUUGUAUUUAUUUUAAUAUUCUAUAAAUAUAUAAUAAAUAUUGAAAGUAGCUAUA
Molecule: RNA transcript, 4650 nt
Organism: Mus musculus (house mouse)
Lineage: Eukaryota; Metazoa; Chordata; Mammalia; Rodentia; Muridae
Gene: Tmc7
Gene name: transmembrane channel-like gene family 7
Exons: 16
Source: RefSeq, marked validated